AGUACGCAAUCUGAUUCCUGCCAGCCCUGUGUCAAUGGCAGUGGCAACUCGAACAUCAUCGUCAGUCCUACUAAACCUGCUCUGCCUCUCUCAUUCCCAGAAAUCUAGGGUUUCAAUCCGACGUCUACAGCAGCAGCAGCAGCAGAAGAUUCCCAUCAUCUGUAGAAGAAUGGCUUCUGCCUCUGCUGGAGGUGGAGAAGAGAAGGUUAAGGCUCCCUACGGCUCCUGGAAAUCCCCGAUCACGGCCGACGUGGUCUCAGGUGCGGAGAAGCGCUUGGGCGGCAUCGCCGUCGAUGGAGCCGGCCGCCUCCUCUGGGUCGAAUCUCGGCCAAGCGAAGCAGGGCGGACUGUUCUUGUUAAGGAACCUGAAAAACCAGGAGAUAACCCUAUAGACAUUACCCCUCAAGGGUUUGCUGUACGGACACUGGCCCAAGAGUAUGGAGGUGGUGCAUUUACAGUUUCUGAGAGUACAGUCAUGUUUUCAAAUUACAAAGAUCAGCACCUCUAUAAGCAAACUAUUGGAGAUCAAUCUCCUGUACCAAUCACUCCAGAUUAUGGUGGUGGACCUAGAGUUUGUUAUGCAGAUGGAGUGGUUGAUUCACGCUUUAACCGUUAUAUAACUGUAAGGGAAGAUCAUCGAGAAAGUACUCAAAAUCCAGCCACAACAAUUGUAGCUAUCGACCUCAGGGAUGGGAAUCCUCAAGAACCAAAAGUAUUAGUUAGUGGCAAUGACUUCUACGCCUUUCCACGUAUCGACCCAAAUGGAAAGAGGAUGGCAUGGAUUGAAUGGGGUCACCCAAACAUGCAUUGGGAUAAAGCAGAACUUUGGGUUGGUUACAUCUCUGAGACUGGAGAAGUUUACAAACGUGUUUGUGUUGCUGGUGGCGAUCCUACAGUCACAGAGUCUCCAAAUGAACCCAGAUGGUCCUCUAAAGGGGAACUGUAUUUCGUUACAGAUAGGAAAACUGGAUUUUGGAAUCUUUAUAAAUGGAGUGAACAUUGUAAUGAGUUGCUAGCACUUUCUUCCUUGGAUGCUGAGUUUUCAAGACCACUGUGGGUUUUUGGCAUCCGGUCUUACGAUUUUUUGCAGAACAAUGGAAAAGACAACUAUAUUGCUUGCAGUUACAGGCAGAAGGGGCAGUCAUAUUUGGGAAUCCUGGAUGAUGUUCAAAACACUUUAUCUUUGCUUGAUGUUCCUUUCACUGAUAUAAGUAACAUUAUUGCAGGACCUUCUUGCCUAUACAUUGAGGGAGCAUCUUCUGUCCAUCCAUUAUCAAUAGCUAAGGUUACAAUAAAUGAGAAUCAAUCAAAAGCAGUUGAAUUCUCGAUUGUUUGGUCCUCUUCUCCAGAUAGCGUGAAGUAUAAACCAUAUUUCAGCUCGCCAGAGAUGAUUGAGUUUCCCACAGAAAAUCCGGGUCAAAAUGCCUAUGCAUAUUUUUAUCCACCAUCUAACCACACUUAUCAAGCUGGCCUGGAAGAAAAGCCUCCCUUGUUAUUGAGAAGCCACGGUGGACCUACAGCUGAAGCACGUGCAAUGUUGGAUCUUGGUAUCCAGUACUGGACUAGUCGAGGAUGGGCUUUUGCCGAUGUUAAUUAUGGUGGAAGUACAGGUUAUGGCAGGGAGUAUCGAGAACGGCUUUUGGAAAAUUGGGGUGUUGUUGAUGUUAAUGAUUGUUGCAGUUGUGCUAGAUUUCUGGUGGAAAGUGGGAAGGUAGAUGGAGAACGACUUUGCAUCACUGGGAAAUCUGCUGGUGGUUAUACAACAUUAGCUUCUCUUGCCUUCAGACAGACUUUCAAGGCCGGUGCUUCCUUGUAUGGUGUCGCUGACUUGACCUCACUGAAAGCAGACACUCAUAAAUUUGAGUCUCGUUACAUUGAUAAUCUUGUUGGGAGUGAAAAGUCAUUAUUUGAGAGGUCACCUAUCAACUUCGUCGAUAAAUUUUCAUGCCCUGUUAUUCUAUUCCAAGGUUUAGAUGACAAGGUUGUGCCGCCGGAUCAAGCCCGUAAAAUCUAUCUGGCCUUGAAGAAGAAAGGGUUACCUGUUGCGCUGGUCGAGUUUGAAGGAGAGCAGCAUGGAUUUCGUAAGGCUGAGAACAUCAAGUUCACCUUGGAGCAACAGAUGGUGUUCUUCGCUCGUAUGGUCGGGCACUUCCAAGUGGCUGAUGAAAUCACUCCUAUCAAAAUUGAUAACUUCGAUUAGGUGACUGUUUCUGUGAAUGGAUGCCAUCUUCCGCAUUCAUUAAUAAUCUAUCAUCUAUGGUUUGUUGAUGAGUACAAGCAGUAAGACAAUUUAUAUCACAUGCAGUCAUCAGCAUUUUUCUGGACAUGCCAAACAGUGCCUCCUGCACAUAAGCUGAGCCUUCGUUGAGAUCCUUCUCGUUCUACUUAAUCUAAACAGGACCUUAACCUAUUUAUGCCAUGAGAAAAUGUGAUGGCUACUCCCUUCAGUCGAGGGGCACUGGUGAGAGGUCUGGGCUGUUCAUCAAAUGGACCCAACUGAAUUUGUGCCCUGGCUUAAAAACCAGGCACACUUCCACUGCACAGCAUUGCUACAGUAUACUUGGAGAGAAAAUUGGAUGCGAUUAGUUUUUGAAUGGACAAAACUAUGCAUCAUUAAAGGAUUGGGAAGCAUUUAAGUCAAAAUGGAGGGCGUUUAGGUAUUUAUAAGGUAAGUGAAGCUCUCUACCAUGUGAUAACUUCCAAUCACGAGGUCUGCUAUUGGGUUUAUAGCCAUUGGAUGGAUCUAGGGUCAUGUUUGGUGAUCCAAACAAUUAAUCUGAUGAAAUACACAACUGAUGGUGGCUGUAUGGGAAAUCUUCAAGAUUUGAAGAUCCUAAAGUUUUGAUCAAUGAUCCACAAUACCAUUGUAAGGAAAUGGUCUAUAGUUAAAUGAUCAAAAGGUUGAAAUAUGCUAACUUUUUUCA
RNA transcript from Magnolia sinica, 2924 nucleotides. RefSeq lists it as uncharacterized. Lineage: Eukaryota; Viridiplantae; Streptophyta; Magnoliopsida; Magnoliales; Magnoliaceae. The transcript has 19 exons. The record is from RefSeq and is a predicted model, not a curated record.